This 913-nucleotide long non-coding RNA is filed under the name Elaeis guineensis (African oil palm). RNAcentral describes it as "long non-coding RNA (EGUI_LNC074045)". The record is from RNAcentral. Lineage: Eukaryota; Viridiplantae; Streptophyta; Magnoliopsida; Arecales; Arecaceae.
UAUGUAAUUGAUUUCGGUUAAUCAAUUGAUAUCUAGGAUUUAAACUAGCGGGUUGGAAGCUGACACAAUAAACAGCAGAGAGUAGAGAUUCUACUUAGAUAUUUGUACUUAUUUCAUAAUUUGCUCUAGAGACUUUUAGAUGUAAAAAGAGACUCCCAUUAUUUUAUCAGAUCUCCUACACUCUUCGGAUGGAAAAACGAAAAUCCUAAUGCGACAACUGAAUUUUUAGUGGGUGCUACGGUUCCACCGAUGUCAUGCACCUUACCUAACAGUUAUUGAUAAUACGAACAAACACCGAUGCGUGGACAACUGUUUGUCCAGAUGCUUCUUUAAGCAUGUUGCAGUGAUUUGAUCUCUAAAUCAUGUGGGUUCACCUAACAGUUAUUGCUCGCACUCCUUAGUUAAAUUAGACCUAUCAUUCACAAGCAGGUGCAAAGUCAUCAUUGGGUCCCUCACCUAACAGUUAUUGAAUCCAACCCUAUCUUUUACCCUAGAGCAAUUUUUUGCUAAUAGAGUGGUUGUGUGUUCCCGAUGCAACUGAACCACUGUGACCAAUCGAGAACAAUCAACGUCGGUGGCACGUCCGUACAUCUACAAUGGUAGAAGACCAUUGGACUUAAUAUUUAUGGAGAGAUUUGGAUUUAGAUCUCAUCAAUCAGUCAUCAUAUGACUAAUCUAAUUGGCAUGGGCUAAAUCAAAUCGUUAAACAAUCAUAUUUGAGACUCAAUCUUUCAAAUCGAUCAGGUAAGUAGAGAUUGGUGGGGGUCCCUCCAUUGCUUUUCUUAGACAUCAAUAAAUUGAUCAGGUCAGUGAACAGAACCAAUUAAAUAAUCACAUUUCAAUUACUUGUUUUAAACACCAAUUGGUUAAUUGAUCCAAAUAGGUUAGCUUAGGUGAAUCAGAUUCAAGCCAU